UCUGCAGCGAUACGGCUUUCUUACUGCGGUCGAGUCGCACGCAUCAGUGCGUGACGUCAGUGUGUUGUGUACUGGAAAGGGGUCUAUAAUUCAUCCUCAAAGACAAUGAUAAGUGUGCGGACUGUCUCCUCUCAUUUGUUUUAGGGGAACCUUAUAAAUGCCCAACUGAACUUGGACCAUGAUGAAGGAAUAGAACGUGAGUACCAGGUAGGCCCAGCUAAUCAUCAGGGCCUGAUAACAUUAACUAGACACACUUGACUUUCCCUCAAAAGACACAGUCCUCAAAGCCUUAAGUUUGCUGGCACAAUCUGUCCUCAUUUGUUUCAGGGGAACCUCGGGAAUACCGGACUAGACUUGGACCAUGAUGAAGACAUGGAUGAUGAUGGUCGGGCAACAUUUGAAGAUACGGACACUGAUUAAGACCCCUCAGACGAAUGAGAGCAAGAGGCAUAUGGAAGGCCACUCUUUGCCGGAUCAAGCCUUACUGUUGGUGGUGCUAUUGUUCUCAUGUGUUUUGUUGUACGAUUCAAAUUGUCAUGGCUUGCUCUGCAAGGGCUGCUUACUUUGCUCUGUGCAUUGAUGCCAAACUCUAACCUGCCUACCACAAAGUACCCGUUCAGACAUUUUUUCAAAGUAUGUACGGGUAUAGUGGAGUUUCAUUUUGUUUGCCUUGAAUGAUCUACAUACAUAGGUCCUAACUGUAAUGCUACGUGCAGUUCUUGCCUUACAGAGACAAGGUCGGACACACUCCAAAAACGGACAUUUGUUCAUUGUAAUUCCGAUGAAGCAACAACUUCGUGACAUGUUUGAGAAUAGCAAUCUGUCGGAUCUUAUCACAUAUCGUUGCAAUAGACAGAAGAAAUCAGAGGAAAACAUUGAAGACAUUUAUGAUGCUAAACAAUUCAAAACUAUCGAAGCAUUAUCUGAUGUAAACAAUAUUUAAUUGACAUGGAAUUCUGAUGAUGCAUCACUAUUCAAAUCAUCCAAGAUGCAUCACAAUGAGUUGCCCGUUAAGAUCUGACAUGCUCCUAGUUCUGACAGGGUUAUGGUUCGGACCAUCAAAGCCUGUUAUGUCCUUUUUUUCUAAAACCAUUUGUGGCUGAGUGUAGAUUACUUCAAGAGAAAGGUUUAUCCUGGUAUUGUAAGACCACACAAAGUUUUAAGAGAACAUACGUUUUUAAUUUGGAAUGUUCAUGCGACACAAUAGCUUGCAGUAUUUUGCAGAAUGUGAAACAGUUUAAUGGUAAAUUUGGUUGUGCGUGGUGCCCAAGGGGAAUAGUUUUGUAAGGGUUUAUGAUUCACAAGAGUACCCCAAGUGAAGUCAAGAACAUUUCUUAAGGGAUGCAGAAUAUGCAGUAAGAUACAACAAUAUAAGAAAUGGUGUUAAAGAUGCAUCCCCUCUUGCUUAUCAACUCAUUUGACAUUGUCAAAGGUUUUCCGGUUGAUUUUAUGCAUUGUGUCCUCUUAGGUGUUACUAAGUAUGUGACAAACUCUGUACAUAAUAUUUCCCCAUGUUACAUUGGUAGAAAACUUGGUGACGUUGACAAAUGCUUGAAUAGUGUUAUGCUUCCAAAGAAUAUAACCAGAACUCCAAGGUCAUUAUCUGAAAGAGCACUUUAGAACGCUUCUGAAUGGAGAAGCUGGCUUUUGUUUUACUCACUCAUUUGUGUUAAUGGUAUUCUUCCAAUUAUCUAUCUAAGGCACUUUCUGCUUCUUGUUGAAGCUAUUGGCUUCUAGAAUCAAUAAGUCCAAAUGACCUGUUGAGAGCAAAUGAAGUGUUGACAACCUUUGUUACAGAAGUCCCAGGUUUAUAUGCCAUUAAUCACAUUACCUUUAAUAUUCAUCAACUGCUUCAUAUUACAGUCUGUGGAGAACUGGGCUCCCCUGUGGGGCACAUCAAACUUCGUUUGAAACUGGGAACCACACAUUACUAAACUCAGUGUGUACCUCAGCAAAUUGCUAAGACAUUUGUCAUCUUCCGACAACUACCGCUUUUUGAAAAACAACAUCUCAAAGAGGGACACCCUGUCAGUUUUUUUUUUAAAGAAUCUGUUUAGGGCUUCUUUACGUUAAAAAUUCUUUAAAAUGCAAUGAUUUAGUCACCUUAAUUGGGACAUCAAAGUGUCAUAGACUAACCUUAUCUAUUCCACAAGCUCUAGUGGUUGUUAGUGUCAAUGUUGUCCCAGACCAACUGAUGUUUUAUUCCACAGCAAAUGUUAAUUGUUACAUAGUCAUUACACAAACAUACAAUAUAAUUUCUAAAAGAGUUUCCUACUGUGUAGCUUUUGAGAAUGGAACAUAUGGACUUGUUGACAGCUUUGUGCUACUGGAUGAUAAUUUCGACUGCUUAUUAAAGAUGUUUAAAAUUACAAGGAAGGCUUUCAGAUCUGCAAACGCCUCCUCUCGGCACAUUUUCAUUGUUGAUGAUGUAAGCAACCAAGUAGUUGCACUUAAAGCAUCAAAUGUUAAACGGACUGUAUUUUUGUAAAUGAGCCUUGUUUUAGAAACAAGUACUGCUGUGAUCAACCAAAUAACAUGGAAACUGAUUAGAAGUGUGAACAGUAUGAGAAAUCUAUACAAAUGACCGCAGUUUGAUCCAUUUGAUUGAAUUGUACAUUUUUACAAAUGGCCAGAGUUUUAUUUAGCAAAUAAAUGUUAAACCCUUUUUUAA
Coregonus clupeaformis (lake whitefish) is the source of this 2671-nucleotide long non-coding RNA. RefSeq lists it as uncharacterized. The record is from RefSeq and is a predicted model, not a curated record. The transcript is spliced from 2 exons. Lineage: Eukaryota; Metazoa; Chordata; Actinopteri; Salmoniformes; Salmonidae.